UACGGGGGGGAGCAAGCGUUGUUCGGAUUUACUGGGCGUAAAGGGCGCGUAGGCGGCGUGACAAGUCACUUGUGAAAUCUCCGGGCUUAACUCGGAACGGUCAAGUGAUACUGCCGUGCUAGAGUACAGAAGGGGCAACUGGAAUUCUCGGUGUAGCGGUGAAAUGCGUAGAUAUCGAGAGGAACACCUGCGGCGAAGGCGGGUUGCUGGGCUGAUACUGACGCUGAGGCGCGAAAGCUAGGGGAGCGAACGGG
RNAcentral lists this ribosomal RNA (254 nucleotides) under uncultured bacterium. RNAcentral's name for it is "partial 16S ribosomal RNA". It matches the Rfam family "Bacterial small subunit ribosomal RNA", at positions 524 to 776 of the family's 1533-position model. The record is from RNAcentral.